AUUGAACGCUGGCGGCAGGCCUAACACAUGCAAGUCGGACGGUAGCACAGGGGAGCUUGCUCCCCGGGUGACGAGUGGCGGACGGGUGAGUAAUGUCUGGGAAACUGCCUGAUGGAGGGGGAUAACUACUGGAAACGGUAGCUAAUACCGCAUAACGUCGCAAGACCAAAGAGGGGGACCUUCGGGCCUCUUGCCAUCAGAUGUGCCCAGAUGGGAUUAGCUAGUAGGUGGGGUAACGGCUCACCUAGGCGACGAUCCCUAGCUGGUCUGAGAGGAUGACCAGCCACACUGGAACUGAGACACGGUCCAGACUCCUACGGGAGGCAGCAGUGGGGAAUAUUGCACAAUGGGCGCAAGCCUGAUGCAGCCAUGCCGCGUGUAUGAAGAAGGCCUUCGGGUUGUAAAGUACUUUCAGCGGGGAGGAAGGUGUUGUGGUUAAUAACCACAGCAAUUGACGUUACCCGCAGAAGAAGCACCGGCUAACUCCGUGCCAGCAGCCGCAGUAA
This 506-nucleotide ribosomal RNA is filed under the name uncultured bacterium. RNAcentral describes it as "partial 16S ribosomal RNA". It matches the Rfam family "Bacterial small subunit ribosomal RNA", at positions 30 to 523 of the family's 1533-position model. The record is from RNAcentral.